Molecule: non-coding RNA, 6373 nt
Organism: Phoenix dactylifera (date palm)
Lineage: Eukaryota; Viridiplantae; Streptophyta; Magnoliopsida; Arecales; Arecaceae
Source: RefSeq, a predicted model, not a curated record
GCAUUAAAGUUCCGAAAAAAUAUUUGGGUUGUAACUUAGACCUAUUAAACUUGGCAGCCAAACCCUACCUAGAUCUGUAGAGGUUUGAGUUGAGACCCAAACCGGAAUCCCAAACUUUUAGAUAAGUAAUGGGUCGGGUCAGUAGAUGAUCCAACCUUAUUAGGCAUGAUUUGAUUUAUUGGUUUAGAAUCAUUGAUUGGGUUUGAAAAAUGAUCUAUUUGGUUGUUGGUUUAUGUCAUUGUUUCUUACAUGAUCUAGGAUCAAUUUGACAUGAUCUUAUAUAAUGAAAUAUUGGAUGAUCUAUCAUUGCUUGAUUUGAUCUAACCCAAAACUCGAUACUUACAAACCUAUCAUUCAUAGGUUUGUAAGUUAGGGGCUAUAGCUAGCACUUUGUAAGUUGAAGUCAUAGUGAAGAUUUAAACCAAAUCCUAGUCAAUGACAAUAGUAUUAACAAUAAUGAUAUUAGUGUAAACAAUCUGCACUAAAACUCUCUUUUAGCAUUUUCCAUAUAUUAAUUUUUGUAACUUUUGGUUGCCCUAAGAAAGAUAGAAUGAAUUAUAUGGAUAUUUUAAUGAAUUUAAAUAUAAUAAAUAAUGUAUAAUUCUUGAAUAUUACAUCAUACUCGAACUUGAUAUGGUUUGGAUGACUCAAAAGUCAAAAAAAAUUCUAUAGGCAGCUGCACAUGAGCGGCAAAUGACAAGGUUCUAUAUCUAAAACUAUGAUCAGAUAAAAAUUUGAUUAACUCAUGAUCAUGAUUACCUUGUUCCAAAUCAAGCUUAGUUACAUGACUAUUUUAUAUUAAUCAUGUCAAAGCCAAGAAGUCCAAGCAGAAAUUUGGUCUUAGAUAUGGGUCGGAUUGGAUGUUGCUUUGUGGAUGGGGUCAAAUCUUUGUGUUUUUUAGCCGUCCUUUUCAUUAAACAAGUAAACCAACCUACAUAACUUGUUUAAUAUAUGGGUCGAAGUAGGUUAAAUGGGUUAAGCGGGUUUAAACGAGUUAAAUGAGUUUUAAACAGAAUAAGUGGAACUCAAGUGAGUUAAACAUGUCUUAAAGAGAUCAGUCACGUGAUUUGAUCCAACUAUUAAAUGGAUUAAAAUAAGCUAAAUGGAUUAGAACUUCAAAUCACUUAUCAUUUGUACAUUAACUAAUGAUUCUUGAUCAUCAAGACUGAUCAAAUAAAGUGAGGUUCCCUUCCAUUUCGGAGUUAGAUUGGAGAGGGUCGGUUAGCCAGUCAUGGCCAUUCACGGAAUUGGAACAAAGUCAAAGAAAUCAGCUCCAUUAUGCACGGACAGGAUAUUGUUUGUUCUGGUGAUCCUAUGUUCCGAGCGGGAAAGCAUGAUCGAACGGCCCACAUCAAUUCUCCCUCCAUACAGCCUCAAUACCCUCCGUACUAUAAAUUUUACCCCCAUUCCCUCGUCUCCCCUUGUCUUCCCAUUUCUGCAUCACGUCAUGGCAUCCGAUACCCAACAAUACCCAGGAGACGAAGAGCCAAGAAAUCGAAAAACGAACCCCUUUCCCCCACUCCAAUCUCCUUCCGCGGUACAAACCCUAGCUCCCAUCUCCUUCAAUCUCCUCUUCUGACACCGUUUCUUGAUCUCUCUUCUCCAUUCACUUCCAGCUCUGGACUGGCCCAAAGAGCUCCUCGAAGCUUCUUCCCAUGGAGAUCUCCCCGUUCUCAAGCGUACUCUCCGACCUUUCUAGGGUUUCUUCUUUUGGUCAGGAUUCGAUCUUUUGAUCUCUUUUUUUGUUGUCACCCUCUCCCUAUUCUGAUGCAGAGGCGGUAGGAAUGCUCGAUGAUGGAAGGGAUUCAGUCGCAACCAUCAGAGAUGUGGAGAACGAGCUUGGCUGCGGAGCUUUCCAUUUAGCUGCCAUCGAUGGGCAAAAGGAAGUGUGCAAGUAUUUGGUUGAGGAGAUCAAACUCGACAUUAACUCUCUGUCCGACAAAGAUGAAACUCCAAUUUACCUACAACUUUGCAUGGAAAGCACGAGACCGCCACCUAUCUUUUUCAUCAUGGCGCCAAUCUUGCUAUACAGAAUAAAUCGGGGAUAACUCCUCUGCACCAUGCCGUGGAAAAAGGUUUUUGAAUUUUUCUUCAUGGUCUUGGUGAAAUACUCGUUAUGGAAAUUAAAAGGGGUAUUUAACUUUGCAGAUUUUAUUUUCAUAUGCAUCAUAGGCUUUCUUUUUUCUAUAUGCUUACUUAAGUUGAUAGAUUCUUAGAUAUAAUUCCUUUUGUCGUGUACUUGUGAUUUUUUUUUUCCAUCCAUAGUUUGGUGGACGUUAGCUAUAGCAAUCACUUAAAAUAGUUGUUCGUUGGAAAUUUCCAUCCAUCUCUUGAACUUAUUUUUCUGCUAUAAUCUUGAUCACAUUCAUCACUUAAAUUAUCAGUGGUCUUACAAUGCAUAAUACUAGUGGCAAUGAUUCUAAUUGUGCAGUUAUAUAAUUAUUGAUGAACUGUUCAACAAGAAGCUUUAUGUUGGGUAUUUAGCCCCAGCUUUGUUUUGGCCUGUUGUACUUGUAGUGUUGUCUCAGAAGCAGUAAUAUUGCAUCUUGAUUCUCUUUAAUUGUGGUCUUCAUGUUGACAUGAUAUUUUCUCCUCUUUUCCUUUUAAUGAUCGUUCAAGUUGCCUAAACUGCAAUUAUGUCUAUUUUCGUUAUAGGCUUCACAUCUAGGUUUCCAGGAAGUUUAUUUAGAAAGAAUGAUUAGUGGAGUAAAAGAUAUUGGUCCUUUGAAUUUAUUUAAUUUUGCAGAUUUAAAGCUGACACUUGCUUUAAAAUCUUGUUCUAAAUAAAAUGUCUGGUGAAGAGUACAGACAAGUGGUUUGAUACAGACGCCAGAACCUGUGGCAGAUAUUGCUUCUUUGUGCAGGAGAUGGACAACUACCUCUUGAAGGUACAAGGAAGUCAAACCUGAAUCACAUGCACUUAAUCUUGGUUCUCAUAGAUGCAGCAGAUCUUUUGGAUUGAUAUAGGAUGAAAAUUAUGUAAAUAAUGGAUGGGGGACGAAGAGAUGAAAGAGCAAGGAGAUCGGGAAUAUAAAAGGAUAGGAAAAAGAGGAACACCAACACAAUCAAGAAGAAAGACAAAUACAUGUGGGCCUGGAACACUCUUGUGGAAUGAAUCCUCUGCAUGUGGCUGCUGGUUGUGGACAAGAAUCUAGUACAAAAAUUUUGUUGAAUCACAAAGCAGAUGUAAUGUUUUAUGUUUCAUUAUCAUCAAUAUGUCUUUGAUGUUCGUUUCCAUGGUCAAAAUUCUUUUGCUUAUUAUGUGGACUUUAUCACUACCUCUAGUUUGAAUCAUCUAAAUUUAUAUGCUUAUAAGCAGCAUAUUUCUCAUAUGACUCAGGGAGACAUCAGUGUCUGUAGAUGUAUGGAAUGAAUGGGGGAUACAUCAUUUUUUUUUAACUGAGGAUCUUAAGACUUCAAUCAAUGCUCAUGAUAGAACAAGCGUGUAAUUGGAUUGAUCUAUAUUGUGUAUUGUAUCAUGAAUAUGUGUUUGUAUGUCCACAUAUAUAUGACUGUAUAAAUAGAUAAAAAAUGGAGAACUCAAGCAAACUAGAUGAAAUAACUUGCCAAAAUUUUCCUACUCUGCCACCAGUUUUCACAAAUUGUUUGUCACCACAUCUUACUUCUCCAUCAUUGUCUCUUUCCUUGAAAAUGCAAUUUAAUGCUUUAAACCUUCAUCCUUCUCCAUGCUGGGAAAUAGUCUUCUUCACAACUGAGGUAGCUUUCAAUUUUCACACGUACUCCAAGUCCUAAAGUAGGGUUAAAGCUAUAGUCUGAGAAGGUCAAUUAAGCGCAUUGAAAUUGAGGUGGAUGAAGGCAAAUGAAUUGUAGUUUAGAGUUGGCAACAGAAGGAAGUUGGCUUUCCAAAAUAGCAUUUUUGGUGCUAGUAUUCUUUUUGGGGUCAGUGUUCUCCUGUAAUUGAUGGCAGUGUUGUUGUCUUGAGAUUGAAUAUGAAAAUCAAGUUGUAUCCAAGUGCUUACAAGUUAUAAUAUUUGGAACCUAGAGAUGAAACAUGAAGGUCUGUGGCAAAUUUAUAGUUUGUGGGUCAUUUGCAGAAAAGUGUGGUCCUUCAUAGCAGGUCAACAUGGAUGAACGCAUACAACAUCUGAGGUUGGGGGCAAGUUUCAUACUUUUUUGUCUGUUAAAGCUCAAGAGAACAGGAAGGUUGACAUACAAGAUGAUUGAACAUAUUUGGAACAAUUUUUGGGUCUGAUUCAGCAAACAACUAUGUUGGCUAUGACUUUAACAUGGAUUUCUUAAUUUGGCCCAAUGGAAUUAACUUAAAUUCAUGUUUUGAUUGGAUAUAUCUCCUACCCUUUUAUGGAAUCCAAUACAAGUUUAGUGGGAUAGGUUUAUUCAUUCAAUCGGUGGCAGAUGAUUUUAAUAAUUCAACUCAAGGUUUUUGAUUUCUUUUCUUUUUUUCCCUCUUUUCUUUCUUCUUUUCAGCUCAACAUAAUGAGAAUGACAAAUUCAUGAAGGUACAACUGAUAUUCUUGUAUUUUUUUAAAUUAAAUGAAGUAUCAGACCUUUCACUAAAAUUCUUAGAUGAGCCAUCACAAGCCUCCUCAAUUUAUUCUUCUUCAUUUACCUAAUUCAUUAUUCUACUCUUUUUAUAGAUCUUUGCAGUGAUGAUAUCAAACUUGCCUAAACAGAAAGAAGUUCUGGUAAGCUUUUUGGAUCAGAUAUGGUAUUUUUUUGUCCUAUGAGAUAAUUUCUCUUUGGGACUUACUUCUGUUACCCUCUUGCCUGUUUUUGUUAUUACAUAUGUAAUUAGUUAUUACAUAUGUAAUUAGUUAUAUGGAAGGACACGAUAUAUGCAGCAUGGUGUAGUUCUUGUACCUUACACAUUAUUCUACAACACAAGAUCUUUGUUAUAUUUUAGUUUUGUUGGAGGUAUUAGUCAAUUUUUUUUUUUACUUCAACUUGCUUCUAUAUUUCCAUCCCAAGAAGUUUUUGUCCAAUGGCUUUACACCAUUGACGAUGUCUGUUCUUGCUGGCUCACUGCAAUGCAUGGAGGAGCUGAUCGAGUUAAACAAGUUGGUUGGCCAUAUGUGCUUUAAUAUCUCAUAGUGAGCACAUUUCUGGUUUUUGACUGAGGUAUAAUUAAAAAAUCAUCUACCAUUGAUCGGGAUCAUUGUUUGUUUCUAUGAAAUUUCUUGCUGACGCUGGAUUGCAGGCUUCAUGGAUUUUGACAGAUGAUAUAUCCAGCAAAUUUUGUUUAGACAAAUCUGGAUGACAUUCAGUAAUCACUCACCAGUUCCAGAAUUUGCAAAUUAAUUCCUUUUGCUACGUCUACUUUUGCGUGUACUAUCUCAUCUUCAUUUCUUCUGAUUGAUAUUUAAGGCCUAGAAAGAAAAUGUCCACCAUGUAGCAGAAUGGAAGUUCUUUGCUGAUCCAUUGUGCUUUGAUAUUACCUAUCUAAACAGCAUGAAGAUGAUUAUUUGAAAGUAAGCCUGGAUCUUUCAUCAUCUAAAUGACCAUAAUGUUCACUUAAUUAGGAGUGACCACAAAGAACUUCAGGAAAUGAAGGAAUUCAUAAGAUGAUCUGCUAUUCUUAAGAUUUUCAUUGAAAAAAAAUUGGAGAAUUUUACACCUUUGGCCUGGCAGCAGCCUGCUUUCUAAUCAGGUGUCUCAGAGAAGCCCUAUAAAAGAAUCGUCAAUGAAAUAUCUUUGCUCAUGAAAUUUCUCAAACAAAUUAUAAAAUGUAGAUGGACUACAAAAAAACAAAAUUUAUCAGAGAGAGCAAAGAGACCUCAAACUUCUGAGAUGCGAAGAAUUCUUCUAAACAAUAUAUUAUGUAUUUCUGUUCAUGUAUGCGGGCGCUGAUGUGAAUGGUAAUAUUUCCAUUGGAGUAACUCCCUUAGGAUUGGCAGCUCAUGGUGGCUUGACUGAGAUUAUUAAAUGCUUACUGAAAGCUGGGGCUGAUGCAAAUAUACUUAAUAAAGUAAGUGCUCAUAUCUUUGCCUUGUUUAUUUUUUUGGCUGUAUUUGGCUCUCUAAAAUUCUCAUAUCAGUUUAGCAGAAGCCACAGAAAGCAUACGUGAUGAUGAACUUCAUAUUGACAGCAACGUUAAUACUAGUAUGCCACACUGCUAUUGCGUAGCUUUGAUGUUAUGCUUUCUCUUUGAUUGAUCCUCAAAAUGUCCAUUCUAUGAACUUUACAGUGCACGUGGGAACUCUCUUUAUAUUGUCAUCUCACGAACUCAGAGGGUUUACACAACUAAUAGAUGUCAUGUACAACAUACCAUGAGGUCAAGGUACACAGAACCGACCAAACCGAUGUACCGGUACUGGUGCAGUACCAGUUCUGGCCAACCGAGAAAAAGAAAUAUUCCGCGACAUGCGUGCGUGGAUUUGUUUUACACAGAGCGUUU